UCUACCCGGUUCCUUCUUCUUUAUUCUUUUUCUUUUUCUUCUUCCUUCUUUCUUUUUUCUUCUUCUAUGUUCUUCUUUUCUCCCCCGAAUACACAGACCGAGUGAGAGGGAGAUGAGAUCAGAUAGAUGAGAGAGAUCAAGAGGGAGUAAGAUGGAGAGAGAGAGAAAAAGAGAGAGAGAUCACUCGGGAGAGAUCCGGCGAAAUAGAGAGAGAUGGAUACCUUGAAACCGAGAAGAGGCGGAGCCGUUCUUCGGCGUGUAGGGUACGAUUUCAGGCCGAUCUUCCGGUGGGUUGACUCCGGUGGUGCCUAGGAUGCGAUUUUCGGUGAAACCUGAAGGAAACCCGUGACCCAGGGACCCAUUGACCCGUGAAACCAAAUCCUCCAGGAACAAUUUUUCAACGAGUUUUUCGGUGAGAUCAGAGACGAUUUCCGGUGGAUUUUCUAGGAAAAAUCCUCUAGGACGACGAGCUGAGACUGCACAAAAGGGUUAUGAUUGCGCAGGUUCUGAACAUUAUGGAUUGGAUUAACUGUUAGCUUAAGAGAUCUAAUUCUAAUGUAGUUAGGUUGUAGUGCUUUGUACUUAUCAAUAUUUGUACUAUUUUGUAUGUAACAUGUUUAGGAAUUUACUUGUAUUUAGUAAAUUUCCAUGUAUGCUUUUGUGUCAUAUGUGAUACAGGUUUUCUUUGUAAUUAGUGUAAAGGACAUUAAUGGACUUUUAAUAAAUGUCUAGAGGAAUUUCGGUCAGCUCAAUGUAUUGUGUUAUAAUUGUCACGUCUUUAUGUAAAAAUUAUAUUCCGCUGCUAUUUUAUAACUUUGAUGACGUUGUAACAUCACGUGUAAAAUCGAAAUUUUCACUUACGCCUUUUUGUAAAAGGCGGGUCAUUACAAAAGUAUUAGUUAUAACUAAUAUUGACUAAAAUUAUAUACAUGCAGAAAAUAAAUA
Alnus glutinosa is the source of this 945-nucleotide long non-coding RNA. RefSeq lists it as uncharacterized. The record is from RefSeq and is a predicted model, not a curated record. The transcript has 3 exons. NCBI's taxonomy places the organism in Eukaryota, Viridiplantae, Streptophyta, Magnoliopsida, Fagales, Betulaceae.